Molecule: transfer RNA, 74 nt
Filed under: Oenococcus oeni
Lineage: Bacteria; Bacillati; Bacillota; Bacilli; Lactobacillales; Lactobacillaceae
Description: tRNA-Met
Rfam family: tRNA
About the family: Transfer RNA (tRNA) molecules are approximately 80 nucleotides in length. Their secondary structure includes four short double-helical elements and three loops (D, anti-codon, and T loops). Further hydrogen bonds mediate the characteristic L-shaped molecular structure. tRNAs have two regions of fundamental functional importance: the anti-codon, which is responsible for specific mRNA codon recognition, and the 3' end, to which the tRNAs corresponding amino acid is attached (by aminoacyl-tRNA synthetases). tRNAs cope with the degeneracy of the genetic code in two manners: having more than one tRNA (with a specific anti-codon) for a particular amino acid; and 'wobble' base-pairing, i.e. permitting non-standard base-pairing at the 3rd anti-codon position.
Source: RNAcentral
GGACCUUUAGCUCAGUUGGUUAGAGCAAGCGGCUCAUAACCGCUCGGUCGCUGGUUCAAGUCCAGCAAGGUCCA